AAUGAACGCUGGCGGCGUGCUUAACACAUGCAAGUCGCACGAGAACUCUUCAGCUUGCUGAAGAUAGUAAAGUGGCGCACGGGUGAGUAACGCGUGGGUAAUCUACCCUCGAAUCGGGGAUAACGUUGCGAAAGCGACGCUAAUACCGGAUGACAUCCGCGGGGUUUCGGCUCUGCGGAUCAAAGGUGGCCUCUCCAUGGAAGCUACUGUUUGAGGAUGAGCCCGCGUACCAUUAGCUUGUUGGUAGGGUAACGGCCUACCAAGGCGACGAUGGUUAGCUGGUCUGAGAGGAUGACCAGCCACACUGGAACUGACACACGGUCCAGACUCCUACGGGAGGCAG
This 343-nucleotide ribosomal RNA is filed under the name uncultured Pseudomonadota bacterium. Its description in RNAcentral is "bacterial SSU rRNA". It matches the Rfam family "Bacterial small subunit ribosomal RNA", at positions 29 to 351 of the family's 1533-position model. The record is from RNAcentral. Lineage: Bacteria; Pseudomonadati; Pseudomonadota.